GUUUYCCGCUCGCAGACUCUCGUGCUGACGAGGUGGGGAGACCUGCCGGCGCAGGCUGGCUGAAGACCGUCUGGUCAGAAAACGAGUGAAAAAACAAAAGACUGUGGAGGGAAGGGAAGUGGCGGGUGUCGCCUGCCUGGAGCUACUGGAGAGCAGUUGGCCCAGGUUGGGGCGGCACCGUCCUUCUGGGCCCCGCGCCCUGACGGGACUCAAAUCACAGCAGAAGGCAGAAUCUCUCCAGAAGUUCCGUCGGGGACCACACAGAUCAUCCACGAAGGCUGAUUUCUGAUGAACAAAAGGAGAAAAGCAGGGGCUGUGGCCGUGGCUCAGUGGGCACACCAGAAGGAAGGGAGGAGUAUUGGGGAAGAUCUGAGCAAGACUCACUGCUUGGGAGUACAUGGAUGGACCGUUGGAUGCAGAGGUCGGAGAUGCAGACAGGCUCUCAGGGGCCUGGGAUGCCCACUUACGGCCUUCCAUAUACAGGCUGCAGGAAAGGACCCGGGACAGGUGGAGAAGAAAACAGCAGUGGCUGCCCUCUACCUUUCCUACUAGAGAGGUCCAAGGAAAAGAGAAUUGAAGCAUGAAAAGUGUCACCCUCAGAGCUGUCCCUUCCUCCCACGUUUCUGCUCCCUGUGCUGUUUCCCUGCUCCUCUCCCUGGAGUCCUGAGUGGUCAUGCAGGGGUAUGGACAGACAGAUGCUGUCACUCACCCUCUCUCUGCUGGGAAUGGAAAAUCUCCUCUUGGUAUGGGAAAGGUGGGUCUACUGGGGUAGAAGGAGAUGUAUAAGCAAAUAUCACAUUGGAAUGGGCAUUUGUAGAAGAUAGGCACCUGGCUAGCCCCCAUUCAUAAAGAGGAACGCAGUAGAGAAGUGAAAAUAAAUGCUAUUUUUGUGUCAUUUAAUCAUAACUAUCAAACAGGUAUUAUUUCCUCAGUUUUAUACGUGAAGAAACUAAAGCUUGGUAAUUGAGUCAUGCCAGGUUACAUAAAUGGGAAAUGGCAGCGCCUGUUUUGUGUGCCUUCAAGGCCCUUGCUCUAGGGUAAGGCUAGGUGAAGGUGGUGUGUG
This is a non-coding RNA of Urocitellus parryii (Arctic ground squirrel), 1063 nucleotides long. The record is from RefSeq and is a predicted model, not a curated record. Lineage: Eukaryota; Metazoa; Chordata; Mammalia; Rodentia; Sciuridae.